UUGGAGGGCAAGUCUGGUGCCAGCAGCCGCGGUAAUUCCAGCUCCAAUAGCGUAUAUUAAAGUUGUUGCAGUUAAAAAGCUCGUAGUUGAAUUUCGGGAUCAAUUUGCUGGUCGUGCCUCUGGUACGUACUGGUAUUAUUGGUUUCUCCCUUCUGACGAACCAUGAUGUCAUUAAUUUGAUGUCGUGGAGAAUCAGGACUGUUACUUUGAAAAAAUUAGAGUGUUUAAAGCAGGCAUUAGCUUGAAUACAUUAGCAUGGAAUAAUGAAAUAGGACGUUUGAUCCUAUUUUGUUGGUUUCUAGGAUUGACGUAAUGAUUAAUAGGGAUAGUUGGGGGCAUUAGUAUUCAAUUGUCAGAGGUGAAAUUCUUGGAUUUAUUGAAGACUAACUACUGCGAAAGCAUUUGCCAAGGAUGUUUUCAUUAAUCAAGAACGAAAGUUAGGGGAUCGAAGACGAUCAGAUACCGUCGUAGUCUUAACCAUAAACUAUGCCGACUAGGGAUCGGAUGAUGUUAAUUUUUUAAUGACUCAUUCGGCGCCUUACGGGAAACCAAAGUGUUUGGGUUC
This 565-nucleotide ribosomal RNA is filed under the name uncultured Glomeromycotina. RNAcentral's name for it is "SSU rRNA". It matches the Rfam family "Eukaryotic small subunit ribosomal RNA", at positions 548 to 1114 of the family's 1831-position model. The record is from RNAcentral. Lineage: Eukaryota; Fungi; Glomeromycota.